GGGCUGGGCGGCGUGCUAUACAUGCAAGUCGAGCGAAUGGAUUAAGAGCUUGCUCUUAUGAAGUUAGCGGCGGACGGGUGAGUAACACGUGGGUAACCUGCCCAUAAGACUGGGAUAACUCCGGGAAACCGGGGCUAAUACCGGAUAACAUUUUGAACCGCAUGGUUCGAAAUUGAAAGGCGGCUUCGGCUGUCACUUAUGGAUGGACCCGCGUCGCAUUAGCUAGUUGGUGAGGUAACGGCUCACCAAGGCAACGAUGCGUAGCCGACCUGAGAGGGUGAUCGGCCACACUGGGACUGAGACACGGCCCAGACUCCUACGGGAGGCAGCAGUAGGGAAUCUUCCGCAAUGGACGAAAGUCUGACGGAGCAACGCCGCGUGAGUGAUGAAGGCUUUCGGGUCGUAAAACUCUGUUGUUAGGGAAGAACAAGUGCUAGUUGAAUAAGCUGGCACCUUGACGGUACCUAACCAGAAAGCCACGGCUAACUACGUGCCAGCAGCCGCGGUAAUACGUAGGUGGCAAGCGUUAUCCGGAAUUAUUGGGCGUAAAGCGCGCGCAGGUGGUUUCUUAAGUCUGAUGUGAAAGCCCACGGCUCAACCGUGGAGGGUCAUUGGAAACUGGGAGACUUGAGUGCAGAAGAGGAAAGUGGAAUUCCAUGUGUAGCGGU
Molecule: ribosomal RNA, 668 nt
Filed under: Bacillus sp. (in: firmicutes)
Lineage: Bacteria; Bacillati; Bacillota; Bacilli; Caryophanales; Bacillaceae
Description: bacterial SSU rRNA
Rfam family: Bacterial small subunit ribosomal RNA
Source: RNAcentral